ACGGGAGGCAGCAGUAGGGAAUAUUGCACAAUGGGGGAAACCCUGAUGCAGCAACGCCACGUGUGGGAAGAAGCAUUUCGGUGUGUAAACCACUGUCGUGAGGGAAUAAUGCUUAAUUUCGGUUAAGUUGAAUGUACCUCGAAAGGAAGCACCGGCAAACUUCGUGCCAGCAGCCGCGGUAAUACGAGGGGUGCAAGCGUUGUUCGGAAUCACUGGGCGUAAAGGGAGCGCAGGCGGAGAUGCAAGCAGUCUGUACAAUUCCGGGGCCCAACCCCGGACCUGCAGUCUGGCCUGUUUCUCUUGGAUAGUUCAGGGGCAAGCGGAAUUCCUGGUGUAGCGGUGGAAUGCGUAGAGAUCAGGAAGAACACCGAUGGCGAAGGCAGCUUGCUGGGGACUUAUCGACGCUCAUGCUCGAAAGUGCGGGUAGCAAACAGGAUUAGAU
Molecule: ribosomal RNA, 442 nt
Filed under: uncultured Fibrobacter sp.
Lineage: Bacteria; Pseudomonadati; Fibrobacterota; Fibrobacteria; Fibrobacterales; Fibrobacteraceae
Description: bacterial SSU rRNA
Rfam family: Bacterial small subunit ribosomal RNA
Source: RNAcentral